UUGAGAACGGACCCGCAUCAAAACAAAGUUCAGCGUUCGUUCUUAAUUUUGGGCUACUAUCAACACCCCAAAAUAAAAGUUCGCUGCUUGAACUGACUGCCCCAAAAAUUUUUGUUUUGUUUCCAGCUAGGUCAUGCUUAGCAAUAAACACAUUUUAAUAUGCUGAUUUUCUGGACUUCUGAACGACCGGAUUUCCCCUCGUCGAAGGACAUGCUGCCUCAAUUUCCCGGAUAUGGGACGACAUCCGGAUCUGCCUCCAGUAUAGAUUUGAAACAAUACGCAACCAUAAUAAUUAAAGAAAGGCUUGCCAAGUACUUUUACAGCUGGAUUAGAAAGCAUGUCUGGACCGAGAGCGAAACCCGAUUUCGAAUAUCCUCGAAGACGUCGGACUCGAUCCGGGAGUUGUCCUUUUAAGUGAAACAAAUUGUUCCAGCAUGACGAGCCAGAUGUAUAGACAAGCUGGAAGAAGGUCAUCAUAUAAGCCAACAAACGGUAGUUUUCUUUCGUCAAUUCCGUUCCGUAGCAUUCCGGAUUCCAAUAUAUCGCGCGAAAUCACCAACUAAAUUUCUAAAUAGUUGUAAUCUGGUCGCAUCCCAGUGAUAAAGCCUCCGAAUCAAAAUUGUUAACACUGUUUUAAGGAUUGUAUUUGUGUAGGAAAAAGAUUUUUUUAAAUAAAUAACAAAAAUAGCCCA
Molecule: long non-coding RNA, 692 nt
Organism: Uranotaenia lowii
Lineage: Eukaryota; Metazoa; Arthropoda; Insecta; Diptera; Culicidae
Exons: 3
Source: RefSeq, a predicted model, not a curated record